AGUCCCAAUUUUUUUUAUUUUUUUUAAAUAAACUAAGUCCAAAACAAAUUAUUUAAAAAAUUAGAAAAAAAAUCUCUUUAUUUGUUCUCCUUCUUCCAUCGUCAACCACCACCGCUAUCAACUAUUUUCCCCGUCUAAUCAACGCCUUACCAUUGAACCCUCAUCUUUCCUAGCCAACACCUGCAUCGCAUCCGAUCUCUAAUCCAAUGGCCUCUAGCUCAACUCUUUGCCCCCUUCAACAUAAUCGACAGCAACACCAUCUUCUACUUCAAUUGCUUUGUCGACGUAGUGAACUCCCCUUUAAACUAUACCUCCAACAACCUCUGCCAUGUGUACAUCAACGGCAUAGUCGGGAAUGGUUGAGUAGAUGUGCCUUUAAGUUGUACAUUCAGGGUAGAAGGAUUGAUAAUGACUUACAAGAUACGAGUAAAGCAUUUGGGUUGCAAGGUGUACAUGAGCUUCGUGAAUUUGGAUUACGGUUUACCAAUAAGCACGUGGCUAAUACCUGGAGUGGAAUUGCAAUGGGUUUUGCUAAUAGAACCCACCUGUAGGAGGAUGAGAAGGAAGGAGAAGGGGAAAAAUGUUGGUAGUGAU
RNAcentral lists this long non-coding RNA (594 nucleotides) under Olea europaea subsp. europaea. The record is from RNAcentral. Lineage: Eukaryota; Viridiplantae; Streptophyta; Magnoliopsida; Lamiales; Oleaceae.